This 255-nucleotide small RNA is filed under the name Arabidopsis thaliana (thale cress). RNAcentral describes it as "ATSL051510". The stretch from base 33 to 154 matches the Rfam family "MIR405 microRNA precursor family". The record is from RNAcentral. Lineage: Eukaryota; Viridiplantae; Streptophyta; Magnoliopsida; Brassicales; Brassicaceae.
AUAAUAAUUAAUUAAAUUAUUACUUAAAUGAGUUAACUCAUUUAACAACUCAACCCAUCAAAUUAAAUGAGUUAUGGGUUGACCCAACCCAUUUAACAAAAUGACUUGGGUCAACCCAUAACUCAUUUAACCCUUAACUCAUUUGAUUAUGAGUUGAGUUGAGUUGGGUUACCCAUUUUGACACCCCUAGCUUCUAUAAAACUUAGAUGAAUUCUCUUAUUCCAUUCCUUCAAGGAGAAUUUUUUUUUAAAUGGU